UACGAAGGGGGCUAGCGUUGUUCGGAAUUACUGGGCGUAAAGCGCGCGCAGGCGGUCUGUUAAGUUAGGGGUGAAAUCCCUGGGCUCAACCCAGGAAUUGCCUUUAAGACUGGCAGGCUUGAGUGCGGGAGAGGUGAGUGGAAUUCCCAGUGUAGAGGUGAAAUUCGUAGAUAUUGGGAAGAACACCAGUGGCGAAGGCGGCUCACUGGCCCGUAACUGACGCUGAGGUGCGAAAGCGUGGGGAGCAAACAGG
RNAcentral lists this ribosomal RNA (253 nucleotides) under uncultured bacterium. RNAcentral's name for it is "partial 16S ribosomal RNA". It matches the Rfam family "Bacterial small subunit ribosomal RNA", at positions 524 to 776 of the family's 1533-position model. The record is from RNAcentral.